CCAAUAGCGUAUAUUAAAGUUGUUGCAGUUAAAAAGCUCGUAGUUGAAUUUCGGGGUUCUUCCGUUGGUCAGGCUAACAAGUCUGUACUAACGUGUAGAAUUCCUACCUUCUGGGGAACCAUCAUGUUAUUAAUUUAGCGUGGUGGGAAACCAGGACCUUUACCUUGAAAAAAUUAGAGUGUUCAAAGCAGGCUUACGUCUGAAUACAUUAGCAUGGAAUAAUAAAAUAGGACGGUGGUCCUGUUUUGUUGGUUUCUGAAUCACCGUAAUGAUUAAUAGGGAUAGUUGGGGGCAUUAGUAUUCAAUUGUCAGAGGUGAAAUUCUUGGAUUUAUUGAAGACUAACUUCUGCGAAAGCAUUUGCCAAGGAUGUUUUCAUUAAUCAAGAACGAAAGUUAGGGGAUCGAAGGCGAUCAGAUACCGUCGUAGUCUUAACCAUAAACUAUGCAGACUAGGGAUCGGUCGAUGUUAAAUUUUAUUGACUCGUUCGGCGCCUUACG
This 498-nucleotide ribosomal RNA is filed under the name uncultured Glomeromycotina. Its description in RNAcentral is "partial small subunit ribosomal RNA". It matches the Rfam family "Eukaryotic small subunit ribosomal RNA", at positions 591 to 1092 of the family's 1831-position model. Lineage: Eukaryota; Fungi; Glomeromycota. The record is from RNAcentral.